CCUAGGGGCGGCAGCAGUGGGGAAUAUUGGACAAUGGGCGAAAGCCUGAUCCAGCCAUGCCGCGUGUGUGAAGAAGGCCUUCGGGUUGUAAAGCACUUUCAGUGGGGAAGAAAGCCUUGGGGCUAAUACCCUCGAGGAAGGACAUCACCCACAGAAGAAGCACCGGCUAACUCCGUGCCAGCAGCCGCGGUAAUACGGAGGGUGCGAGCGUUAAUCGGAAUUACUGGGCGUAAAGCGCGCGUAGGCGGUCUGAUAAGCCGGUUGUGAAAGCCCCGGGCUCAACCUGGGAACGGCAUCCGGAACUGUCAGGCUAGAGUGCAGGAGAGGAAGGUAGAAUUCCCGGUGUAGCGGUGAAAUGCGUAGAGAUCGGGAGGAAUACCAGUGGCGAAGGCGGCCUUCUGGACUGACACUGACGCUGAGGUGCGAAAGCGUGGGUAGCAAACAGGAUUAGAUACCCUUGUAGUC
This 465-nucleotide ribosomal RNA is filed under the name Vreelandella stevensii. Its description in RNAcentral is "partial 16S ribosomal RNA". It matches the Rfam family "Bacterial small subunit ribosomal RNA", at positions 338 to 795 of the family's 1533-position model. The record is from RNAcentral. Lineage: Bacteria; Pseudomonadati; Pseudomonadota; Gammaproteobacteria; Oceanospirillales; Halomonadaceae.